Non-coding RNA from Cinara cedri, 350 nucleotides. NCBI's taxonomy places the organism in Eukaryota, Metazoa, Arthropoda, Insecta, Hemiptera, Aphididae. The record is from the annotation of a GenBank genome assembly.
CCGUCAGAGUAUAAAAAUUAUAAGUAUAAAAUUGUCAAAUUAUUUUUAGGAGACUGAGAAUAAUCUCUUAUUACGGUGGGUGCAUGAUUAUUGUGAAGAAAAACGGAUAGCGGUGGAAAGCGGAGUAUCUCGGUUUUAGUUGAAAAUGGCUACAGCCUUUUGUGUUUUUUUACGUAUGUGUGUGUGUGUGUGUGUAUGUGUGUGUGUGCGUGUGUGUGUAUAGAUGUGUGCGAAUUUUGAAUAAUACUCUUUAUCGUCGUUUAGCAGUGUAGAGGUACAGCGAACUAACUAAACUUUUAUUUCAGAAAUCUCUAAACGCCCCCGCAAAAAAAAUAAUAAAUAAAUUAUGU